GACGAACGCUGGCGGCGUGCUUAACACAUGCAAGUCGAACGGAAAGGCCCUGCUUUUGUGGGGUGCUCGAGUGGCGAACGGGUGAGUAACACGUGAGUAACCUGCCCUUGACUUUGGGAUAACUUCAGGAAACUGGGGCUAAUACCGGAUAGGAGCUCCUGCUGCAUGGUGGGGGUUGGAAAGUUUCGGCGGUUGGGGAUGGACUCGCGGCUUAUCAGCUUGUUGGUGGGGUAGUGGCUUACCAAGGCUUUGACGGGUAGCCGGCCUGAGAGGGUGACCGGCCACAUUGGGUCUGAGGCACGGCCCAGACCGCUACGGGAGGCAGCAGUGGGGAAUAUUGCACAAUGGGCGGAAGCCUGAUGCAGCAACGCCGCGUGCGGGAUGACGGCCUUCGGGUUGUAAACCGCUUUCGCCUGUGACGAAGCGUGAGUGACGGUAAUGGGUAAAGAAGCACCGGCUAACUACGUG
RNAcentral lists this ribosomal RNA (468 nucleotides) under uncultured bacterium. Its description in RNAcentral is "partial 16S ribosomal RNA". It matches the Rfam family "Bacterial small subunit ribosomal RNA", at positions 28 to 507 of the family's 1533-position model. The record is from RNAcentral.